GGAAAAACCCCAUGCUAUACAAACACAGCAAUUUAACAUAAGCAACAUUCCCAUUUCAGGAAAUUAAACCAUUAUCCUUAACAGAUGUAGUGCUCCAUGACUACAUAUAUACAUAUAUAGUCGUAUAGCCCUUACGACUUUCGCCAGGUUGCACCUCCUCAUCCACACCGCCUUUCCUCAAGCCAGGCCCCUUACUGACCCAAGUUGCGUUCUUGAGUGCUUUUGCCUGGCUGGAAUGUAUCCUUGAAUUCUGAUCAUGUGCCUUGCUUGCUUGAAAAGAAGAUAGAGAAAGUGUGCUGGUCUAUGUAGGAACUAGUCUACUGUAUAAAGGUAACAUUUGCAUUCAUUUCUCUGCUCACGUUCACCAUUGGCCCCACUGGCAUGUGCUCCACAGAAGGGAAUCCAACCCUUUGUCUGAAAAAUGGUUCUCCACCCCUGAUCUAAAUGUUUGGCAGGUAUAUUCCCUGUUUGACCCCCAUAAUCAAAACGGGCAGCUAUUCAGAGCAGCUCUAGAGACAUUUUGUAUCCACCCUCUCUAUCUGAAUGCAAUAUUGAAGCAGUUUCAACUGGCAAUAAAGAAAAUCAAUGCUUGAAAUAAACUUAUGCGUAUUAGGGGAGAUGCUGCCAGCAGCGCAACUUAUGUAAACAAAGAUGGGCUUAUUCAAAACUUUUUUGUAUUCAUAUGUGGGCAUUAGCCCCCAGCAGCUUUAUUUUGAUGCAUUCUAGUAAUAAGACAUAGCAGAUACAGACUUAUAAGGGCACGAAAUGGCUGGAUCAUUUCCACAGCAUAAUUCACUCGGCAUAGAUUUGUGUAUGAAUUCUAUCCCUCUCUUUCUGUGUCUGCCUUGGUGGAGGUGAGAUAAAUUCACUCCAAAAUGGCCCCGAGGACCUACAAAUGUAAGGAAUCCCAGGCCAAAUAGAGACCUGUCAAUCUCCCGACACAGCGGGAGACAACCCUGGCACUUAAAUUUUGCAGCAAUAACUCAUUUCCUUGCAACUUCUGUGUGAGUGACCCUUUGACUUUAUCAGCCUCUCUCUGAGAGAGACCGAGUUUCAUUCCUCUUUUUUUGUCCCUUCAUCAGGUCAUUUAACCUUAGUUCCUUAAAUAUGCAGGGGGGAGAGAAACUUGUGCAGAUUGCUAGAUCUACAUCCAGGCCAUCUAAAUCAGGUAUGUGAAAUGGGUAAGGCAUGCCUACUUAGAGUGUGAAGCUUAAUUUGUGCAUGUGUGAUGCAACUUCACCCAGAGGCCUCUAGCAGGAGAUCACCUUCCCCACUGUUGUCCCCCCAGCCACCACCAAUAAGUACACUUUGGGAAGGAAAUGAGGCAAUGCACAGGGUAUCCCAGUGUUGGGAGAAUCACAGAGGCUGGUUCAGAGUGGCCAUGUGUCCUACUUUACUGUCCUCUCUUUGAAGGCACCCUCUGUUUGAAGAGCUGCCCUAUCUAAGACCUGUUAAAGAUAAAAAACCACAAGAAUGGAGAAUAGCAGCCUUGAAGUUGCCUGUCAACUGUUGGGUAUACAGGUAACCUGCAUGUCUGCUCAGUCUGCUGUCCAAUUGUUGUCACCUUGCCACAGCCUUCCCCACUAUGAUGAGAUGCACUGUAUUUCUAUUUCAGUCAUAGCAAUUAUUUCAAAUUCUAAACACACAUAUUAGCUUAUGCAAAUCCUCUUUUUUAAAAUGAUGUACAGUCGUACCUUAGAUCCUGAACGCCCAGGAACUCAGACAUUUUGGCUCCUGAACGCUGCAAACCCAGAAGUCAUUGUUCUGGUUUGCGAACGUUCUUUUGGAACCCAAAUGUCUGAUGGGGCUUCCGCGGCUUCUGAUUGGCUGCAGGAGUGUUUUGCAAGUCUAACGGACUUCUGGAACGGAUUCCAUUCAGCUUCCAAGGUACGACUGUAUUUCCCCUGUUUUGGUGGCCCCUCUGCAUUCAGACUCUAUUGUCCUUUCUGUGACAUCAUUCAGACUCUACAAUUCUAUGAGGAGUGCAAUGGGGUCAAAAUUUGCAACUGAGCUUGGGGGUGAGGGAACAAGCCACUCCCUUAAAAAAAAAAAGUAGCAGGUUUUGCUGAGUCUAAUUUUGAAUCAAGCCAAGGAAAGACAUCGCUAGCCUGUAGUCAGGAUUAGGAUUGCUAUCAUACUGCUUUAGGUCUCUGAAACAUUAACACCUAUACCCAGCCUGUGCUCAUUUGACUCAGCUCUUUGUAAGUGAUGACCAAAUCCCAAUGGGAGAGCUGCAUACUCACAUGCCCCACUACCUCCAAAAAGCUUUCCUUAAAGCCUUUAUUAAAAGAUUUAUUUCAAUUCCUGCUGGAACAAAUUCAUUCUGCGCUAUGGCCUGAAGCACUCUGAAACUCUGGCGCUGAUAAAAAUCACCAGAGGAGCGGACUACCGCAGACAAGGGUUUUGAUAUUUAGAAGGCCUUGCGCCCGCAGCAGCUGCCACACUGCUCCACUCAACUACCAUGGCUGCUGAGAAGAACGGAGGGAGGGAAUGCUCUUUGGGCAACAAGAUUCUAGGGCAUUCUGAUUAAGCAGCCACUGUAAUUGACCUCCAGAGUAAAUGGGUAGCCAGGGGCAAGAGAGAAAGGGGGCGGGUAGAUUUUGCAUAUGUAGAGUGGCCUACUUAAGUAUACUUCAAUAUGAACUUAUAGGACUGUCAUUGAAAUUCUACUCAAUAUUGAUCCAGAGCAGAUUCCAAUGUAUAGUUAGCAAAGUAGAAACUUAAACACGUUGCAGGAUUCCCAAAAAUAGACCAGAGGAAAUUAAUAUUUCAUCCAGCAGAGCUUUACUGCUAUGGAAGGCAAAUGAGAAUAGUGGUCACAAUUCCAAUACAUUCAGGGUUGUAACUGUCCAUAAGAAAUCAAGUUGCAGCAGACUUAACUUAAACUUACAGUAAUUUAUAAUAAGACUAAACCUUAAUGCUAUACGUAUACAGAAAACCACACCAGAAGGAAAAAGGAUAGAAAGAGAAAGUGAAGCCCAGGGUCCUUCUGGCCUAUUUUUAUAGUCAGCAUGACCUUGACUGAAGAGAUAACAGAACCAGUUUAAGCCAGCUGUACUCAGCUUCUCUAAAGGAAUAACCCAAACAUCACGAACUUUCUGCUUGUUUCUUUUACACAGAGAAGCUUUCAGAACUCUCUUGAAUUAAUUAGAAUAGGAGAGAUCUCUACACAUCAGAUCAAUAUUUUCUGCACUAAGAAAUGCAAACUGACAAGGACAUCUCAGUUUUUAUCAGAGAAAUGUUGGAUGGUAUGCAUCAAAUUUAUCUUUUUGAAUGCAUUCAUUUGCAGACUUCUGAAUGCAAAAAUGCUGCAGUGCUCUGUGGGUGCUAGCUCCAUAGUUCUGAUCAGUAUUUUGUGUACAUUGACCAAUAAGGUGACAAGGUGAAAGCAGCUGUGGUGAUACUUCAUUGGAAAGCUCUGUGCAUCUUUGAUAAAGUAAAUGCAGUGACCUUUGCUUUCUAGAUUUAGGUACGCACUCUGAGUGACUCAGCUGGGGCCAAAGGGCGAAACUCUUGCACUCUGAUUUACCUGCUGAGCAGAUGACAUUUGCUUUCAAGGAAGCAGCACCGGCGCAAAAGGAAAUGGAAGAUCUGAGCGACAACGGCAUGCUUUGUGGUAUCCCUCCUAUCUACAAAGGACGGGCCAGCUUCUCUUCCAGACCACAUAGGGAAAUGCACAGAGAACGUCUAUGCUGCACUGUGGUCUACAAUUGUAAAAUUAUUUGAACACCUGGUUCUGUGAGUUUCUCAACAGAACAUGUUGUCACUCACAGUUUGGUGACGAUGAAGCACUUGCGAAGACACCAGCACAUAUAAACAAAAGAGCUAGGAGAUUUGGCAGCCAGCACAAAGUGUGCAGUUCUCUGAAACCACCAUAGCAGAUUGAGGAAAAGAGGAACCGACUUGCCAGCUAUCCAUUCACUUAGUGCCCCCAAAGCAGCUGGCUAGUAGGGGGUGCUUCAAAUUGCAGAUUCUGAAGUUGCCAGGUGGUAUAAGGCACCAGGAGCCUUCAAACCCCUCGCCUGUAUAAAUAAGAUGCAGCUGUGUUUAGACCACUGCCUGCACACCACCAAUACUCAUUUGCAUCAUUUUAUUUACUUUUUAAAAAAAUGAUAUUUAUUGGAAAAAAAAUUAGAAUUACAAAAAAAACAAAGCAGAAAAAAGAAAAAAAAAAGAAAAAAUAAAUCCAUCAUUCUCAAAUUCAAAUUCUCAACUUUCAUUGCCUUCUUUCUUUGACCUCCUCCUCCUCCCUUUUCUUGUAUCCCAAUUAAUAAUCGUCACAGCAAAUCCCUUACAUAAUUCAUAAUAUUCUGUCAUUACAUUACCUUAAUCUAUUUUCAUCUUAUCUUAUAAAAAACCUUAAGGCUUAAAGCUUAAAUCUUAUUUUUACCAACUUCUCAUAACCAUAAUAUUCUUACCUAAUUCUUUAAACAUUUUUGCUAGAGCCAAGUAAUUUCAUUUCAACAUUUUUCUAACAUUCAUCAAUUUUAUAAAACAAUCCUAACGAUUAAAAAAAAGAAAUAGGCACAAUCCAAUCUUCAACCAGCGUCCCUUCCUCCUGGUCCCGGGUUUUGUCAGUCCUUUUUAUCCCAUUGAUCUAGCGCAUUAACCUGGUAACCUUAUAUCCGAGGCCCUCAAGUCUCUUCCAUGUCCCUUCCGCAGCUCUUCUUCAUAUUUUCCUUUCACUCGUGGGAACUCCAGCUUGGUAAUGUUCUUGACCCUUUUCAACGAAUCAGCCCCUUUUCCAUAGUCCGGACUAAACUCCAUGUGAUAUUUAAGAACAUGUUUCAGAUUCCCUCCAAAAUUGAGAGCCCACACAGCUCCAAACAUCUGACGGCCCAUUGCCAGACUCGGAAAGUCCAAACAACCCUGCGUGGGGGGGUCAAUCCAACCCCCCAUUUCCAAUCCAAUCCAAACCUUAUCUUUCCAAAUCUGGUUUUUUCCAAGAUCAUUUGUUAAAUCCAAAGGCUCAUGUUCCUGCAGGGCCGCAGUUUCCUCCAUCUCUGGUGCCCAAGAUUCAGCAACGUCCUCUUCUCUCAUCUGUUCUGUCAGGGCACACUCCUGUUUUAGUUCCUGGGUGGGCUCCAUAUAGUUUCCCACUACCUGUUCAAAAGUUCUGGCCGCAUUAGUCAUCAAGUCCGUCUUCUGAUUUAACUGGUCCAGUAGGGCAUUUAUUUUACAGAGAGCACCCAACAGAGCUUCUGAAAACAUUGCCCUGCAAGGUCACAAGUCCUUUCCCACGAUUGUAAUCUGUAACAGCUGCAAGCUCCCUGGAUUUAGUUACAGUUUCACAGUCUCCCUCUAGGGGGAAAACUUCUGUUUGUUCUUUCUUUUUAAAGACAAUAGCAACAAAGUUUCUUUUUAGAGAUACUUUGUCAAUAUUUGUUCCUUUAAAAUGCGAAAGGAAACAGUGGAAUCACUAUAUCUUCUUUUAACUGUCUGUCACAAGCAUUUGUCUCUGGUCAAUGAGCUUCAAACGUCAGUCCUGACACCCCGCUCCAGGAUCAGGACGGAGGAAAGUUACUUUAUUUUGAACUCGCUUCUGCAGGUUUAAAUAGUCCAAAAAAAGAUCCCCCUUCUUCUCCUGCUACCGAAGGGGGGUUCAACAAUUUUAAAUGAUGAAAGCCAAUCCUGUAGAAGUAAUUUUCUAAGCUCUAGUUUACGUUGUCUUUGCUUUAUUCUGUCUACAGAGAAACGGAAGGCUGACUUCCUGUUUAGACCUUCCCGUUUCAGUACCAAAUUAGAUUAAAUUUUUAAGUCCAAUUCCUUUCUGCUCGCCAAUCCUUGUUUAUAGUCCAAUUGUUCAAAGUUUAUGUACUCACGGGUGAUUAUUUUAGAUGCCAAAUUGUCCCAGGAAAAAGGCAGCGCUCUCCGGCAAUGGCUAUGCGGCUUCGCUCCGCGGAAAAAGCAGUUGACUCGCGGCACCGCGCCACUUCCCCCUCUUCGCUUCGGAGCCCGUUAGUGGGUUCCUUUGCGGGUUGGGGGGGGCGCUAAAGGUGCCCGCCGAGUCCCAUGGCCACAGGCUUCAUCCGCCUGUGGUUUCUAAAAGGGUCCCCGCUUCGCCGUAGCAGAAAAGACCCGUUUCAUGAGGAGCUGGUCCCUCCAGUUCAAAGGGAGUCCGCCAUUGCCGAUGGCGCCACCCCGGAAGUCCCUGCAUCAUUUUAUUUACAUAUCGCAUCUCCAAUAUGGCAUUCAAUGUAGCAACCCCUUCCUCCACAGCCUUGGCACCUUCUGGUUUUGGUGCUGAGACAUAACUUGUAAGUGGGAACUUGGUUGAUGAAAGGUAUCGUUUUAGCCUGUUCUAACAUUUUCCCAGUAGUGAUGUAUGGAAGUGAGAGCUGGACCAUAAAGAAGGCUGAUCGCAGAAGAAUUGAUGCUUUUGAAUUAUGGUGCUGGAGGAGACUCUUGAGAGUCCCAUGGACUGUAAGAAGAUCAAACCUAUCCAUUCUGAAGGAAAUCAGCCCUGAGUGCUCACUGAAAGGAAAGAUCCUGAAGCUGAGGCUCCAAUUCUUUGGCCACCUCAUGAGAAGAGAAGAUUCCCUGGAAAAGACCCUGGUGUUGGGAAAGAUUGAGGGCACAAGGAGAAGGGGACGACAGAGGACGAGAUGGUUGGACAGUGUUCUCAAAGCUACGAACAUGAGUUUGACAAAACUGUGGGAGGCAGUGGAAGACAGGAGUGCCUGGCGUGCUCUGGUCCAUGGGGUCAUGAAGAGCUGGACACCACUAAGCGACUAACAACAACAAGGAGUAGCAGUUACGGAUAAGAGACAUCACAUUAAGUGUAGGCCAUUUAAAAUACGAUGGGCACAAUAUUGACUCCAAUAUAAGUCUCCUGCUAAAUUCUUAUUGACAUUGACAAAACAUCAGAUUUUGGCAUGGUGACUGUGCCAUGCUGAAAAGCACAAAUAUUUUUUGAAUGUGUAUUGAGACUGGGACAUCCUUUCCCAAAGGAGGUAAUUAACAGUUCUCCUAAAGACUAUGUUUUUUUCGACAAUGCCGUACAAUCAACCCCAAACAGUGGAUUAAGAUAACACAAGCAUCUUCUUCAGUGAGAUUUAAAUGAGUCCAGCAGGGAUCAAUUGAAGUCUGACACAUUCCGCUCUCAUGUACAAGGUUUCUGGCUAAUGCCGUUCUAGUUAGUUUUGUUUAUAAAUGUCUCCAGUGGGAAUUAAGACAAAGGAUUGGUCCCUGCUCCUGCCGCUUGUAAGCAGCGGGUCUUCUGAGCAGGAAGGAGAAACAGAAAUGAAAGAGAAAUAUCUAUUGCUAAGGGAAGAGUUGAAACAAUAUCAUACGCCCAGUUUUAUUUUGUGAAGGCAAAAUACAGUAAAGGAUCUUUGAUCAAGCACCGUCUCGCAAAUGUGCAGUGAUAUACUCACUUAAUGUGUGACCCCAAAAUUCCAGAUGCCCCCAAACUGAUGCCAAAGGUUAAUGCUAGUUUUGUGCCGUUUUGUGCUGCAAACCCCACAUUUUGUGUCACCCCCCAAACUGACUAAUUGUCACUCAAACCAGGGUCACAAGUAAAUGGCCAAAAACCCAACCUUGUCUGAUUGACUCCAAACCGGUGCCCAAGUGGUGCACUGAUUUGGUGGCAUUUCGUACCGCAAACCCCACUUUCUGUGCUGCUGCCCCCAAAGGGAGUAAUUAACACUCAACCUGGGGGCCGUAAGUGGGGAAUUAAGUGGGCUAAGUGCGGACUUACGUCCCCACAAACCAACUUAGCCUUAGCGCGGACUUAAGCUGGCUAAACUGGCUUAUUGGGCUAAGUGGGCUAAGUUGACUAAAGGGCCCCUUUUAGCCAACUUAAGUCCUCACUUAGCCCACUUAGUCAUGCCCUUCCCCUCUGGUAAGCAUAGUGAUAGUGGUGGUGGGAGGUUGGGUAAGUGCUGCUGCUCCUUCCUGCCCCCCACUACUGCCUUUCCAUCUCCAGCCACUUGUCCCUUCCAAGUCUUCCUUCUUCCUUGCCACACUGCUCUGUAGAUGUUCUGCAGAAACCAGGCUUCCCAGGUCUAAUUCUCCACCACACAUGUCUUCUACGCAAAUCAAGUUCAACUCCAUAAAGAACCCAUUUUGCAGCGUCUGCUAUAUAGAAGCUUGCAUCCAUCUGUUACGGUAAAAUCUGGGUGCGAGGCUGCUCUGCCACCCAGCUCGUCGGACUAAGUCCGCGGGUCCCUGCGGAGGAAAAUGAGCUCAGCCGGAAACAGGAGCAAGAUGCAGAAGAUCCAAGUUUAUUGCGCAACAGGUUCAAGGCGAGAUUGAACAGCGAGAAAGGGGUGACAUGAACUUUUAAAACUUCCCUCCAUGUCCCAGAAUACAGUGCAAAAUAAAUCACAGUUAUCAUGAAUACAUUAAGAAGAGGUUGGGUUACACAGAUUACAUCAUGAAUACAUUAAGAAGAGGUUGGGUUACACAGGAUUAACAUAUGGAGGAGGGAGGGGGAAUAUGCAGAGCUGGAAAUAUGCGCAGAUAAGCACAUCCUGAGUACCGGUGAUGAGAAGACAAUGGUCCAUGUAUGCAUAGUCUGCCACCUGGCAUUGCCCGGAGGAAAGGCUUGGCAGAGUGAUUUGACAGGAUUAGGGUCUUCCUGAGAGUACAUGACACCUCGCUUGAGGGAUUAUGGAGGACAGGGGAGGUGUCACGGAGUCCUAGAGAAAUUGAGCAAAUUGGCACGUUGAUUUUCUAUGAAUUUUAUAGAUUUUAGUCCCUUUUGACAUUGACAAUUGGACUCGGAAAUAAAUGGAUAUAUUGUAGCGAAGAAGAAGGUGAAGAAGACAUGCCCCCCCCCUUCCGUAUCAGUCAUCUUAACAAUUUUGCUUCGAAUGAAAUAUGGAAUUGGGGAGCAAACACAAUACUUUCUUCCACUAUUCCCCCCACUUGUGAGAUUUCAUUCAGCAGUUUGUUGGUAGCUUCACAACCGUCUAAAGCGGUGCUUGCGCUGUGAUGAAUGGGCUGGUUAGCUGAAUGUCAGAUAUGCGACGCUGAUUUGUGACUGGCCUGCACGUUCUGCACAGUGAUGAUAAUAACAUUAAUACUUAAUUAUUAUUGUCCCCUAUAAAGCUGUGAGGUACUGUACAUUGAUUAAAAAAUACGAUAGGCCAAGCCUGGAGGAUUACAGUGUAAUUAAGGUUAGGACACAUCAGGGAGCAAAGUGAAGGAAGGAGAGAAAGAGAGAGAGAAGACAAGAAGGGUCAGCCAGCAAAAGCUAGGAUGAAAAGAUGUGUCUAAAGCAUGGGGGAUAUUGGGGAGAGAGCUUUCCAUGAACAUUUUAAACAGAUAAUUUGUUGCAGGCUAUUUUGGCCAGUUUUCAGAGAUAAAAUGCUUUGCCUCUCCAUGAUGCUUUGCCCUGAAUUAAUUUUUGUUUGCCUUCAGUUGACAUUGUCUUUUUCUUACGUGAUCCCUGAUUGGCUAUGAUCUCCAAUCUGACCAGUUCAGAAAACAUUGCCUCACUCUAACUUGGCUUUGUUUGCUCUCAUGAUGUCAACAUGCAGCCAAAUAUGAUGUGCUACAUGGCAUUGGGAUAAAAUCACAUUUUCUAUUAGCUGGAAUCACACUCAGAAAAACCAAGAAGUCAUAAUCAGAAAAUAAAAUGGCACCGAAGCAGCAGUACACGGGGAACAGGUUAUAAGGGAAAUUAAUGGGUUUAAAAAGCACUGCAAAAUACAGAGAAACAGACAAACAUUCAGUGCAGUCCUAGGACAAACAGGUGUCUGAAUGUUGUAACAGAGAAGAGGAAAGCUGGAUGUCUGGUGGGACACAAGGAUGAAACAGAGGGGGUCAUCUCAGAUUCAGCUAAAACACUGAGACCAAAAUCCUGAAAUGAAAGAGAGGUUUAAAACAGAUUCAUUCUGCAAGGAGCACAGGGCUCUAAUAGAAGCUGAGUUGGUUCAAGGUUAUCCACUGAGCUUCAUAGCUGAGCACCUGGGAUUGCAUAAUAAUGGUGGUAGAGUCAAAUGUAGAAAACAACAGAUAACAAAUGUUGGAGAAACAGAGGGCACUUAUUAUCAUAUGCGGUGGCAAAGUAAGGUUGUUAAAAGGUAUUGAGAAAUGAUACAUAAUGAAUUUUUUAAAAUGUUCAGAAAAUAACCUUUGUCAAAAAGCCAGAAGCCUUCUUAUUAGGUAUUACAGGAGUGGAUCUAUAGGAAAAAAAUAUAAAACAUUGUUUAUGUAUGCAACAACAGCCACUCAAAUACUAUUAGCACAAUCUUAGAAAGAAGAAGUUGUCCCCACAAAAGAAGACUGGCAAAAUAAAUUAAUGGAAUAUGCAGAAAUGGGUAAAUUAACUGGGAGAAUAAGAAAUCAUGAAGACAAUAAGUUUAAGAAGGAAUGGGAAAUGUUUAUUGCAGAUAUUAAAAAGCCAUGUAUAAAAGUUAAUACAUGAGCAGGAUUUUAAAACAUGCUUGUAAUAUUAUAGACAAGGUACAAGAAUUGGAAAGAAAAAUUAUUAAAACUUUUAUGGACAUGCAAGAAUAACAUAUAACAAAGGGGAGGUAGAGAGGGAAGUCAAGGGAUUUUAAUAAUCCCAUAUUGUGGAUUUAAAAUGGAUUGUAUAUACAGUUGAUUUAAUGUUUUGAUAUAUGAUUUUUUUCCUAUAAGUGAUGUUUUGUUAUUGCCAAAAAUCAAUAAAAAUUAAUAAUAAUAAUAAUAAUAAUAAUAAUAAUAAUAAUAGUGGUGGAGUCCUCAGACUCGGUGGCUAUGCAGGAAGCCAGAUGGGAAGCCCAGGAGUGCCCCCUUUCUCCCACUUCAUUCUAUGCUCACUAUGGGUUUUAAAAAAGCAUUAUGCUCAUUGAUAAGACAUUGGGGAUAGGAAAUUGAUAAGACCUUUCUUCCAACGAGCUUAAGGUGGCAUGAACAUUUCUUCUCCUUCCUAAUAGGGGAUGGAGUUUUUGGUCACCUCUGUGAGCUAGGUUAGGGUGAGAGAUAGGGACUGGCUCAAGAUCAUUCUGGUGUGCAUGCUCAGGAACAGGCAGCUGCCAAGGAUAUUCCAAGCAGGCACCUGGGGGUUGAGUUUUGUGGCAUGAAGGGCAAGAGUUUACUUGCCCUUCAUGCCUUCAGUCUACACAUGGCAGAGAAAUAUCUGCACAUCUGUAUUGUCAGACCAAUUCCAAUUUCUCUCCAUUUUUAGUCUCUGCAGCUAUCUUUGCAUGAACUCCAGAUGAAUACUAAUCAAUCACUGUGCAUGAGCACAAAAUUGCUUAAAUAAAAAUCUCAAUAUUAAAAUGGAUAUUUAUAUAGUUCUUUAAAAAUUAGCAUUUAGAAGCUAUAAACAGCCAUACCAUUAAACACCCUCGACUGGUUCAAAGGAUUUAAAACCAUGUCUUUAAAUUGCUGUAUAACGUUAAUUUGACAGUCUACAUGAUUUCUGCACUUAAAGAAAAAAUCCCCAGUUCUUUGCCAAGGUACCCCAAACUCUGGGUGUCUGAAUUAUGUGCAUAAUAAGUAUGACUUGACUAAUCAUUUUUCUUUGUUCUCUAUUCCUCUUGUGGACUACAGUCUCUGAACAGAGAACACUUGGGCCUCUAUUGAUAGAUGUAACCAGAAUUGCCCCCAAGCUACACACUUGCUUCUUCAGAGGCAUGCAAUCCUAUACAGAAUACCCAAUUCGCCAAUUCGCCAAUUCGCCAAACAUGGGAACCACCCACCCAAACGGCCUCCACCGCUCUGCCAUGACUUUCUCCAUCAAGAAGAGGGUAUUCACAACUGGGUGAUAGUUAUUCAAGGAUACUCUCUCCUUCAGUCUUCAUCUCCAACAAAGCCAGGGGGUUCCUGUCUGGACCCCUGGAUAUGGUCUUGGCCUUCAACAGAUGCCCAACCUCGCCAGUUCUUGAUGCCGGUCUUGUCCACAGUGCUACUAAUUAAUUCAAGAAUCAUCUGUAUUUAAUAUUAAUUACACUGCAUGGCUAUUAAUUUGCAUUGUGCAGUAAUACUCUAGAGUAGCCCUCUGUAGGCCGUUGCCAGAGCACGCUUAUUCUCCUUGACUUUACUGGAAUCCAAGGACUUUGCUCUGUAAAUGUCCAAUAGUUUCUCUGACAUCUGCAGGGCUCUGGCUUGUUAUUUACACUUAAUGAAUACACAUGAGCCAAGCAUCAUGAGGCCUGAUUGUGAGCUUCUUGUGUUUUUUCUGGAGAUGGCCGGAGUUAUGAAAGGGAAAGCUGGAACUGUUUCUUGCCUUAUGAUAGGACUCACACAUCUGCUUAGGUAACCACUAGAGGGGUUCAGAAACAUUUGGCAAUGGUCCCCCAAUGAGAAGGAACCCCCUGUGAUUAUUGACUGAAUAGAUUUUCUCAUUUAAAACUGGCAAAUUUCAGAUUGCUCUGAAUAUGCAUGGGAAAGUCCUAAUGGCAAAUACACAAGCACAGAGCCAGGCCAUUUUUAAGAACACCUAAAAUGCAAAGAUCCCAUCUUAGGAAUAAAUUCACUCACAAGACAGAUGUAACCAUAAAAACGUAAGAAUGUCGUCACACUGCAGUUCACGUGGCUGCUGACAAACAAGGAGGAGGGAAUUGGAGAAAGAGGCAGCUGAGGGGAACAGCUGAGACUGGUGAGUGAGCAGACAGGUGGAGAGUGACUAGAGAGGCAGGUGGACAGAGAGCUGAAGCUUGUGAGUGAGCAGGCAGGUGAGUAAGACUGGUGAGAAGAGUGGGUAACCCAGGCCACUGAGUGGAGCAUUGGUGGGCUAUGAGGAAAAAGGCAGGUGAGCAGCAAGGAGGAAGGGGAAUUGGGCAAGGUAUAAGAGGAAGAAGGGGAUUGGACAGGGGGUGGGGUUUGGCAGAUGACAGGUAGGUGGGUUGAUGAGUGAAGCACACAGGGGCAACAGCCCCUAGUGUAUAUAUAAAGUGGUUCAUAAAAACAUAUCGACUUGGAGGCUUUCUACACCUCAGCCUUAUAGAUAUGAACACUAUGUUGUAUUCCAAUAGUGAAGAGAUAAUAGAUUGGAAAGUGUUGAGGAGAUUCGUUAACAUCUGAAGGCCUGCUGUAGGGUUCACUGAAAGUGAAACUUCAAAUAAUGUACCAUUUUAUGCACACUAUUUGUGGUUGUUUUCUCAUGAUAAAUAGCGAUUUCAGUCAUGCAGAUCAGGGACGUUUGCCUGCUUGGGCUCAAGGAAAGGUUGUUGGGAAAAGGAUCUGCCCCUUCGUCUAUUUAUUUGUUUGUUACAGAAAUCACUCUGUCCCAUGAAGGUGAUGACCUUGGCACUCUUGGUGUAAUAUAUUUCACUGGGCUGUUGUAAAAAAAGGAAAGGAAGGGCAUUUGUAGGAGAACAAAAAAGUAAAACAGUGUGUUCUAAACAAAUAUAGACGGGGGGUGUGUGUGUGUGUGUGGUGUACAAUUCUGCCUUGCGCUCUCUAAAAAGAGCCCCUAUCCAUAGAUCUUCAGAGAUGAAGCAAUGUCCUAAGUUAAGGCCUCCAUUUUUUCCUUCCUCUCAGAUCCGCCACCAUUCGAAAGGCUCUGCAAUAAAAGUGAUGUCAACAUAUGCAAUCCUGGUUGGGCCAAAAACUCCCAUAAAGACAUAAGAAGAGCCCUGCUGGAUCAGAUGAUUGGCCUACCUAGUCCAGCGUCCUGUUCCCCACAGUGGAUAGCCAAAUGACUCUGGGAAGCCCACAAGAAGAAUAUAGGUGCCUUCGCCUUCUCUUGUUGCUGUUUCCCAACAACUGGUGUUCAGUGGCAGGGUUUUUAUUUUUAUUUUGGAGGUAGUAUAUAGACACCAUAACUAGUAACCUUAUACUUCAUGAAUCUGUACAUCGUGCAGAAAUGUUUAGCCAGCUUAAACUCUGAAGAGCAGUUGACCCAAAGUAGAUUAUGCGAUAAGUCAUGCUGAAUGAGCUAUCUGGGCCGAUGAAAGGCGGCUCAUAAGGUAAGAAUGUUUUAGAAUUCUGGGUAAUAGAGGGUGCUGAUUGGGAAAUGAUGAGGUGGUGAGUAUUCCAAUAAUAAGUCAAUUUUCUCUGUGGCUUCUGAAUUCCUUCUGAAGGACUUAUUAGGUAAUCAACCCGGCAGGAGACUUCACUGCUGCUUACAAGUUCCAUUUAUGCGCAUAUCCUCCAGCUGUUGAGCUUGUCUUGCGUCCGCUGUGCUUGAAACAGGUUUCUGCUUUAGCGAUACCAGCUCAGCAGUUGGUGCAAGUCAAAGGAAAGCCACUCAGUGGCAGCUGCGAAGGGCGACCCAACAGCCCAGAACUAACCUGCUAUGAGCUGCAGAGCCCAGUGAUCCAGAAAAGUGCUGUCAUUUCAAGAAUAAAUGCAGAGUCUGGGGACCCUGAGCAGAGGCACUGCCUGCUUUUCCUUAUGGGGGCAAACAAUGUUAUAGCAUCAUAAAGGCCUCUUCGUAUGUAAUAGAUGUACUUGCCCCGCUGUGGGAACAAAGCAGGGAAACUUUCCUAUUUGUCCUUAGACAACUUUGUCACAAUUUAAGUCUCACUCUGAAUUUUCAAAGGCAUCUCAUUUAAGUGUCUAGCAGAUGCAAGAUGGGAGCUGAGGCAAAUGUGAGCAUCAUCACAAAGGGUGUUGUCAGGGAACUGCCAUCAGUGCCGGAGGGAGAGAGCAAAAUCCAGAGGGAUUCCAGAGAGCGUCCUGGGAUUGGGAGAGGCAGCCCAUCUUCUGGGGAAGAGAAUCAGCGUAGCACCAGUGGAGAAGGGGGGCAGAUGGGGGAAGCGGCAAGGCGGUCCCAUGACUCCUUGCCGGGGACCAGCGGGGAGAGUAGAGGUCCUCCGCUGCCUAUGCCCUCCUUGCGCAGAAGGCUUUCACGCAGAGAGAGUAGGAGGAGACUAGGCGUCAAAGAGCUUCUUUGCUGGAAGAAGUUUAAGAAAUGCCCACUGACGGAUUCUGCCAGCGAUUGAGACAGCCACAGGUGAGUGGCUGUCCAGACAGAAAAGGUUCACUCAGGCAACUCAGCCAGGUGUUUGCACCGGCUUACGCACAAGCAACCCCUAGAACCACUACAGGUGUCUAUAUAGCCUCCAAUUACACCAUAGGAAGAAACCACAGAUUUGGUGAUGGAAAUUGUACCUCAUUUAAAGCCAAUGUGCCCCACUGCUUUUCACAUUCACCCUGGUGAUAGGUUGUUUCCCUCUUCUUCCAAGCAGCAGCAUGUUCUGGAAGAAGCUUUGUGGGAUACAUUGUGAAAAGAGAGGCCUGUGGAACUCUUCAUGAUAUCUGUUUACAGUACUCAUAAAUAUAUCACUUGUCAUGCUUUCAACAUCAAGUGAUUAUCUUGCCAUCAAAUGAUUAUUAUUUGGAACCAAUCAGGCUUGAUAGGAAAACGCAACUUCUCAUUUGGAACGAAUCAAGCUUGAUAUAAUAAUGCAAUAUGAGUCUGUAUGAGUCAUUUGCAGCAGGGUCACUACCUAAUCAAUCAUGUGAUAAUAGGGGAUGCUUGAGCAUUUUGCUCCUUUGCUAAUUCUGAUAUGAACUGAGCUGAUCCACACUUCCUGGGUUAAUGUACACAGUGCUUUUUUCCUGGGGGGACGCAGGGGUACGCAUACCCCUAAACAUUUUGUGAAUCUAAGUUUGGCCUCAUUGAGGGGCAUUAUUUCAAUGUGAGUAGGAAAAUGAGAGAUCCCCUAAACAUUAUUAUUAUUUUUAGGAAAAAAACACUGAAUGUACAAAUUGGAACCUGUUUAUCCACCCACUUUUGAACUUCCUAAAUGUGUAUACAUGGUUGUGCACAUAUUGAACAUGCAGAAACAGGUGGCUGCCUAUACUUUUGAAAACAACAGCAACACAACAAUGAAUUUUCCCCAAGGCUGUUUCUUAUCAGUCACAUUCAAAACUUAGCAUUUCUCCCAGUCCAUAAAAUUUCAAAAUGCCCUUUCAAUACAAAGUCCGAUCCUGG
Molecule: non-coding RNA, 15820 nt
Organism: Podarcis lilfordi (Lilford's wall lizard)
Lineage: Eukaryota; Metazoa; Chordata; Lepidosauria; Squamata; Lacertidae
Source: the annotation of a GenBank genome assembly